AACGAACGCUGGCGGCAUGCUUAACACAUGCAAGUCGAACGAGACCUUCGGGUCUAGUGGCGCACGGGUGCGUAACGCGUGGGAAUCUACCCUUUGCUACGGAAUAACUCAGAGAAAUUUGUGCUAAUACCGUAUAAUGUCGCAAGACCAAAGAUUUAUCGGCAAAGGACGAGCCCGCGUAAGAUUAGCUAGUUGGUGGGGUAAAGGCUCACCAAGGCGACGAUCUUUAGCUGGUCUGAGAGGAUGAUCAGCCACACUGGGACUGAAACACGGCCUAGACUCCUACGGGAGGCAGCAGUGGGGAAUAUUGGACAAUGGGCGAAAGCCUGAUCCAGCAAUGCCGCGUGAGUGAUGAAGGCCUUAGGGUUGUAAAGCUCUUUUACCAGGGAUGAUAAUGACAGUACCUGGAGAAUAAGCUCCGGCUAACUCCGUGCCAGCCGCCGCAGUAA
Molecule: ribosomal RNA, 449 nt
Filed under: uncultured bacterium
Lineage: Bacteria
Description: partial 16S ribosomal RNA
Rfam family: Bacterial small subunit ribosomal RNA
Source: RNAcentral